RNAcentral lists this ribosomal RNA (254 nucleotides) under uncultured prokaryote. RNAcentral describes it as "partial 16S ribosomal RNA". It matches the Rfam family "Bacterial small subunit ribosomal RNA", at positions 524 to 777 of the family's 1533-position model. The record is from RNAcentral.
UACGUAGGUGGCAAGCGUUAUCCGGAAUUAUUGGGCGUAAAGCGCGCGCAGGUGGUUUCUUAAGUCUGAUGUGAAAGCCCACGGCUCAACCGUGGAGGGUCAUUGGAAACUGGGAGACUUGAGUGCAGAAGAGGAAAGUGGAAUUCCAUGUGUAGCGGUGAAAUGCGUAGAGAUAUGGAGGAACACCAGUGGCGAAGGCGACUUUCUGGUCUGCAACUGACACUGAGGCGCGAAAGCGUGGGGAGCAAACAGGA